Molecule: long non-coding RNA, 1532 nt
Filed under: Carassius auratus (goldfish)
Lineage: Eukaryota; Metazoa; Chordata; Actinopteri; Cypriniformes; Cyprinidae
Description: lncRNA (ENSCARG00000043096.1)
Source: RNAcentral
GUAAUGUGAUGUGUAGCAAUACACAGAUUCAGCAGAGAUUGAAGAUGUGAAUGAAUAUCCAGAAGCUGAACCAGAGGUAAGCUAAAAUAGUUAUAUAUUACUCUUUAGUUUAUUAUAAUGUUUGAUUAGGAUUCAAGCUAAUCUCUGCAGGACAUACAGCGACAAUUGGUAUUUCUAUCUGAUUUUAGAAACUAUUUUAGAAUAUUUUAGAAAGUCUGACUGAUAAAACUUUUGCUUUUGCAAUUACAUAUUAUGUCAUACUUGUGGUACAGACAUUGCACACUUCACUUAAAUUUUCGUCUCACGUUUUCUGCGUGUUAUUGACUUAUUGACUUCUGUGUUGUGUUUUACAGGAAAGCAAUAAUUAUUUUGACCAUGAGAGGACUAACAGUUCAGAUGAGGAAUCUGAGGAAGUGGAUGACCCACAAAAUGCUGAGUGGAGCAGUGAUGUAAAUUCUCAGACUGCACCUAAGGUUUGUUUGAAUUUGAAAUUAGUAAAGUGUUUAUUUUGUAGUCAUUAUCUAGUAAGUGUUGGAUCAUUCCGUGUCAACUCAACCAGAGGGGUCCCUGGCAAAAAACUGUGAAAACUCACACUUAUUUAAAAAUAACAUUAAAUUACAAUCGUAACAGUGGCUGCAAAGGAGCAUUCAUUAGCUAUUUCCACUCCCUUAUUUACAUUUUCACUCGUUUUGAUUUGAAUUAAUAUUAAGACAUUAUGAAUGAUAAUAAAGUUAAUUUGAUCUACAGCUCAACUCAAGCUCAUUGCUUUAUCUUCAGCCCCCCAGUGCUACCAAAUACUGUCUGUAGAUCUGAGUGGCUCUGGUAGGGCUGGGUGAUAUAUCUGACGAUAUGAUCAUGUGCAUCUAGUCAGUUAAUCUGGUGAUGGCGAUUUAGCGGUAAUCAGGGAACCAGAUUUACUGACUAGAUGCGCAUGAUCAUAUCGUCAGAUAUAUCACCCAGCCCUAGGCUCUGGUGCUGCUGCCCUCAAAUGUUAGUCUGGAGCCUGUGAACUUAAAAAUAAAACUGCACAUUGUAAUGUCUGUAAAAGGCAUUUGUUUGUAAUACAGUAAAAAUGGGGGGAAAUGUGAAAAACUGCGUUGCAGAUUGAUUUAAGGUGUGCCUCUAAAUUUUCUGCUUGUGCUCCUAAAAAUGUUCAGUAAGGGGCUACAGUGUUCCUAGUAAAAAAAAAAAAGUUAGUCUGGAGCCCUGGAUAGUAUUGAAGAAAAAUGUAUAUUAUCAAUAUAUACAAUAUAUAUACAAUAUAAGCUUCAACAACUUCUACAACUAUGACAACAGCUGCUGCUGUAGUCACUACAAGUGUAGAUACCGUAGGAAAAUCGAGCAACAUUUGAGCAGCAUUUGGCUAUUGAUAAUCUAAAGUCUCCAGAGCCAUUUCUAAUUCAGUUCAGAGUGAUAUAGUUUCAUCAUUGCAUCAUCGUCAAACUGAAUGGUUGCAAAUCAGAAUUUGGGACAUGGGUAUUAAAAAAAAAAAAGUAUUGUGUAUAUAUGUGUGUGUAUAUAUAUAAAAUCUG